AGAGUUUGAUCCUGGCUCAGAGCGAACGCUGGCGGCAGGCUUAACACAUGCAAGUCGAGCGGGCGUAGCAAUACGUCAGCGGCAGACGGGCGAGUAACGCGUGGGAACGUACCUUUUGGUUCGGAACAACACAGGGAAACUUGUGCUAAUACCGGAUAAGCCCUUACGGGGAAAGAUUUAUCGCCGAAAGAUCGGCCCGCGUCUGAUUAGCUAGUUGGUGAGGUAACGGCUCACCAAGGCGACGAUCAGUAGCUGGUCUGAGAGGAUGAUCAGCCACAUUGGGACUGAGACACGGCCCAAACUCCUACGGGAGGCAGCAGUGGGGAAUAUUGGACAAUGGGCGCAAGCCUGAUCCAGCCGUGCCGCGUGAGUGAUGAAGGCCCU
RNAcentral lists this ribosomal RNA (384 nucleotides) under uncultured bacterium. RNAcentral describes it as "bacterial SSU rRNA". It matches the Rfam family "Bacterial small subunit ribosomal RNA", at positions 8 to 418 of the family's 1533-position model. The record is from RNAcentral.